UGUGCUGGGUUGUGAGUAGAACUCUCCAGAGUCCAGAGAAUCUCUGUACCUUUCGGGAUAGCUGAAGCUGCUAGCAGCCAACCCACGUCAAGAACAGAAGAAUCAGCCUCUUUGAGCCUUACCACCCAACAUUGACUUCAAUGUGAGCAUCCAAGAUGGCGACCACGUCUGCUGUGGCAGCUUCCCAGCCAGUGUUGCGGGCUUGAGCAAGACCUUUCCUCUCAGGAUGCCGUAUUAUUUUCAGUAGUCCUGGAUACUUCUGGUUGUAAAGCUUAAUCUUCUCAUCCAAGUGUACCUUUAGUUCUCCUGUCAAUCAAGUGCACACCUAUAGCAAUUCUGAGUGCAACAAUCAAUGUGAUACAAAAGUUUUAUACUAUCAUAUAAUCGUGACUGGACUACCUCCAGCAUAAAAUGGGCAAUUCUAAGAGUCAGCUAGAAAAUAAGUCGUAUUUCCCCUGCACCUGCCUGUCUUCUCCCUUUCACCUGAGGUGUACUGUGAUCAUUCCUAAUUUCCUUUCCCUCACAGUUAAACUAUCUUAGAAUGAUAAUACUGCUUACUACAUGUCAGGCACUGUUGUAAGUGCUUUUUCACAUUGAGAAGUUCUUGAGAGAAUGAGUAGGACAGAUCUAGCCCAAGGUGCACACGUUGACGGACAACACUGCAGGAAGGCCUGGAACAUCUUCAUAGCUAAACUCUCAAGACUCUAGAGAAUCCAUAAAUGACGAAAAUUGUUUUGUUUUGGAUAUUCCCAGUUGACCUACUUAAGGACCAACUGGGACAGAAUGCACAGAUUAAUCUCUUUGCCAGCUUCUAGCUAGUAAAUUUAGCCCAAAAAUUACGCAAACAAGAUUCACUAUUCCCAGAUUGUUCUCAGGUAGUUUUCUUCCCUCUCUUUUAAUAAAGCUUGUCUGUGGCUUUGUUCUUGGGCUCAGCCUACCGCCGACUUCCUCACGUGUAAGAAAACAACUUUCAUGCAAAUCACUGAACCGUAUGCAAAACAUCUAACCAAAUGACUCUGAGUUACUCGUUGAUAAAAUUUAGUUAAUUCUGAAA
This is a non-coding RNA of Macaca mulatta (Rhesus monkey), 1054 nucleotides long. The record is from RefSeq and is a predicted model, not a curated record. Lineage: Eukaryota; Metazoa; Chordata; Mammalia; Primates; Cercopithecidae.